This 429-nucleotide ribosomal RNA is filed under the name bacterium. RNAcentral describes it as "partial 16S ribosomal RNA". It matches the Rfam family "Bacterial small subunit ribosomal RNA", at positions 355 to 776 of the family's 1533-position model. The record is from RNAcentral.
UGGGGAAUAUUGGACAAUGGGCGAAAGCCUGAUCCAGCCAUGCCGCGUGUGUGAAGAAGGUCUUCGGAUUGUAAAGCACUUUAAGUUGGGAGGAAGGGCAGUAAGCGAAUACCUUGCUGUUUUGACGUUACCGACAGUAUAAGCACCGGCUAACUCUGUGCCAGCAGCCGCGGUAAUACAGAGGGUGCAAGCGUUAAUCGGAAUUACUGGGCGUAAAGCGCGCGUAGGUGGUUCGUUAAGUUGGAUGUGAAAGCCCCGGGCUCAACCUGGGAACUGCAUCCAAAACUGGCGAGCUAGAGUAGGGCAGAGGGUGGUGGAAUUUCCUGUGUAGCGGUGAAAUGCGUAGAUAUAGGAAGGAACACCAGUGGCGAAGGCGACCACCUGGGCUCAUACUGACACUGAGGUGCGAAAGCGUGGGGAGCAAACAGG